Molecule: ribosomal RNA, 159 nt
Filed under: Hymenoscyphus microserotinus
Lineage: Eukaryota; Fungi; Ascomycota; Leotiomycetes; Helotiales; Helotiaceae
Also listed under: 4 other names
Description: 5.8S ribosomal RNA
Rfam family: 5.8S ribosomal RNA
About the family: 5.8S ribosomal RNA (5.8S rRNA) is a component of the large subunit of the eukaryotic ribosome. It is transcribed by RNA polymerase I as part of the 45S precursor that also contains 18S and 28S rRNA.
Source: RNAcentral
AAAACUUUCAACAACGGAUCUCUUGGUUCUGGCAUCGAUGAAGAACGCAGCGAAAUGCGAUAAGUAAUGUGAAUUGCAGAAUUCAGUGAAUCAUCGAAUCUUUGAACGCACAUUGCGCCCCUUGGUAUUCCGAGGGGCAUGCCUGUUCGAGCGUCAUAU